CGUAGGGGGCAAGCGUUGUCCGGAUUUAUUGGGCGUAAAGCGCUCGCAGGUGGUUCGUCGCGUCGUGCGUGAAAGACCCUGGCUCAACUGGGGGAUGUCGUGCGAUACGGGCGAACUGGAGGCCAGUAGGGGGAUGCGGAAUUCCGGGUGUAGUGGUGGAAUGCGUAGAGAUCCGGAGGAACACCAGCGGCGAAGGCGGCAUCCUGGACUGGUCCUGACACUCAGGAGCGAAAGCGUGGGGAGCGAUCCGGAUUAGAUACCCGGGUAGUCCACGCUGUAAACGAUGAGCACUAGGUGUCGGGGGUAUCGACCCCCUCGGUGCCGCAGCUAACGCGCUAAGUGCUCCGCCUGGGGAGUACGGCCGCAAGGCUA
Molecule: ribosomal RNA, 372 nt
Filed under: uncultured organism
Description: bacterial SSU rRNA
Rfam family: Bacterial small subunit ribosomal RNA
Source: RNAcentral